RNAcentral lists this ribosomal RNA (1007 nucleotides) under Paraburkholderia sediminicola. RNAcentral describes it as "bacterial SSU rRNA". It matches the Rfam family "Bacterial small subunit ribosomal RNA", at positions 56 to 1058 of the family's 1533-position model. The record is from RNAcentral. Lineage: Bacteria; Pseudomonadati; Pseudomonadota; Betaproteobacteria; Burkholderiales; Burkholderiaceae.
UGCAGUCGAACGGCAGCACGGGGGCAACCCUGGUGGCGAGUGGCGAACGGGUGAGUAAUACAUCGGAACGUGUCCUGUAGUGGGGGAUAGCCCGGCGAAAGCCGGAUUAAUACCGCAUACGCUCUACGGAGGAAAGGGGGGGAUCUCAGGACCUCCCGCUACAGGGGCGGCCGAUGGCAGAUUAGCUAGUUGGUGGGGUAAAGGCCUACCAAGGCGACGAUCUGUAGCUGGUCUGAGAGGACGACCAGCCACACUGGGACUGAGACACGGCCCAGACUCCUACGGGAGGCAGCAGUGGGGAAUUUUGGACAAUGGGCGAAAGCCUGAUCCAGCAAUGCCGCGUGUGUGAAGAAGGCCUUCGGGUUGUAAAGCACUUUUGUCCGGAAAGAAAACCUCCGCCCUAAUAUGGUGGGGGGAUGACGGUACCGGAAGAAUAAGCACCGGCUAACUACGUGCCAGCAGCCGCGGUAAUACGUAGGGUGCAAGCGUUAAUCGGAAUUACUGGGCGUAAAGCGUGCGCAGGCGGUCCGCUAAGACAGAUGUGAAAUCCCCGGGCUUAACCUGGGAACUGCAUUUGUGACUGGCGGGCUAGAGUAUGGCAGAGGGGGGUAGAAUUCCACGUGUAGCAGUGAAAUGCGUAGAGAUGUGGAGGAAUACCGAUGGCGAAGGCAGCCCCCUGGGCCAAUACUGACGCUCAUGCACGAAAGCGUGGGGAGCAAACAGGAUUAGAUACCCUGGUAGUCCACGCCCUAAACGAUGUCAACUAGUUGUUGGGGAUUCAUUUCCUUAGUAACGUAGCUAACGCGUGAAGUUGACCGCCUGGGGAGUACGGUCGCAAGAUUAAAACUCAAAGGAAUUGACGGGGACCCGCACAAGCGGUGGAUGAUGUGGAUUAAUUCGAUGCAACGCGAAAAACCUUACCUACCCUUGACAUGUAUGGAAUCCUGCUGAGAGGUGGGAGUGCCCGAAAGGGAGCCAUAACACAGGUGCUGCAUGGCUGUCGUCAG